This 469-nucleotide long non-coding RNA is filed under the name Homo sapiens (human). RNAcentral describes it as "long independently transcribed non-coding RNA 2526 (LINC02526)". The record is from RNAcentral. Lineage: Eukaryota; Metazoa; Chordata; Mammalia; Primates; Hominidae.
AUUUCUGGGACUCCUGAGUCCAGGCACCAAGAUCAGGAAGCUUCUCCUCUUGUAUUUAGGGGAAGCUGGCCACAUUGUAAGAAGUCGGACUAUGCUGAGACUGUCAUGAUGACAGAAAACCCAAGCUAGCCAGGUGGAGAGAUCACACAGAAAGAGAUGCCUGGCCAGCUGUUACCUGAUAUGCCAUCAUGCAAGAAGAUAAAGGAAGGACAGAGGUUAAACUAAGAGAUGCAGAAAUUAUAGUAUAUCAGCCAGGUGUGGUGGCUCAUGCCUGUAAACCCAGCCCUUUGGGAAGCCGAUGCGGGCGGAUCACGAGAUAUUAAUCCAAGGAACAAUACUGACGAAUUUCACGGACAAAAUACUAAGAAGGAAAUCAAGUGAAUCAAGCGGAGAAGAAAGACAGUGGAAAAAGAAAACUGAAAAUAAAAAUAUUUUCUAGACCCCUUGAAAUAAAGUUUGAAAAACCACA